UGUCUUGCAUCUUGAUGACCUUUGCGUGACCUUCAAAUGUGACCUCAAGGUCAACUUUAUGUUGUUUUUUUUUCGUGAAAAACAACCAUGUAGGCCACAACUUCUUCACCUUUUGACCUAGGCCUUACAUCUUUGGCAUGUGGAUGUAUCAUCAUGAGGUGGUGAGCCUUCUUAAAAUUUCGACCCUCAUGUGACCUUGAACUUUGACCUCAAGGACGAUAAUUGUGUUUUUUGGUAAGAAACACUUGUACCGGCCAUGACUUUUAUGAAGUUAUGAAUUCAUAUUUAUUUUUAAAAAUAAUAAUACACAAGCUUUAAUCGACCAUACAACAAUAUAGACACAUUUUAUGACAUGUCAACUCAUUCCAUGCACACGGAAUACAUAAUGGACAUGUAGUAACAUAAAAUUGUUUGAAAAAGGGAUAGUUUCCAUUGAAGCGCAGUGUAUGUACUUAACUACUCAACAGAAAGCAAAGUAAAAACUUCCUAGGAAUCAAACAGUAGGAGGAGUUAUGCCAAAUAACUAUAUACCAAUAAUGGGACGGACGGAAGGACAGACGAACAGGGGUAAAACAAUACCCCCC
This 584-nucleotide long non-coding RNA is filed under the name Mytilus galloprovincialis (Mediterranean mussel). The record is from RNAcentral. Lineage: Eukaryota; Metazoa; Mollusca; Bivalvia; Mytilida; Mytilidae.